CUGGCUCAGGAUGAACGCUAGCGGCAGGCUUAACACAUGCAAGUCGAGGGGCAGCGCGGGGUAGCAAUACUCUGGCGGCGACCGGCGAAAGGGUGAGUAACGCGUGAGCAACGUGCCCGUAUGUGGGGGAUAGUCGAUGGAAACGUCGCGUAAUACCCCGUAACACAUUUUUCCCGCAUGAGGAGAUGUUGAAAGAUUUAUUGCAUACGGAUCGGCUCGCGUGCCAUUAGGUAGACGGCGGGGUAACGGCCCACCGUGCCGACGAUGGCUAGGGGUUCUGAGAGGAAGGUCCCCCACAUUGGAACUGAGACACGGUCCAGACUCCUACGGGAGGCAGCAGUGAGGAAUAUUGGACAAUGGCCGGAAGGCUGAUCCAGCCAUGCCGCGUGACCGGGAAGACGGCCCUAUGGGUUGUAAACCGCUUUUGCGAGGGAGCAAUAAGGGUAACGUGUUGCCCGAUGAGAGUACCUCGCGAAUAAGCAUCGGCUAACUCCGUGCCAGCAGCUGC
Molecule: ribosomal RNA, 508 nt
Filed under: uncultured bacterium
Lineage: Bacteria
Description: bacterial SSU rRNA
Rfam family: Bacterial small subunit ribosomal RNA
Source: RNAcentral